This 329-nucleotide ribosomal RNA is filed under the name uncultured eukaryote. RNAcentral describes it as "partial 18S ribosomal RNA". It matches the Rfam family "Eukaryotic small subunit ribosomal RNA", at positions 1470 to 1796 of the family's 1831-position model. The record is from RNAcentral.
CCCUUAGAUGUUCUGGGCCGCACGCGCGUUACACUGAUGCAUUCAACGAGCUUAUAACCUUGGCCGAGAGGCCUGGGCAAUCUUGUUAACGUGCAUCGUGAUAGGGAUAGAUUAUUGAAAUUAUUAAUCUUGAACGAGGAAUUCCUAGUAAACGCAGAUCAUCAAUCUGCAUUGAUUACGUCCCUGCCCUUUGUACACACCGCCCGUCGCACCUACCGAUUGGAUGGUCCGAUGAAUAUCAUGGAUUGAGGAUGCAAGUAGGUUCGCCUAUCUUCAUCUUCGAGAAGUGAAGUAAAUCUUAUCAUUUAGAGGAAGGAGAAGUCGUAACA